UGGUUCUGGCAUCGAUGAAGAACGCAGCGAAAUGCGAUAAGUAGUGUGAAUUGCAGAAUUCAGUGAAUCAUCGAAUCUUUGAACGCACAUUGCGCCCCUUGGUAUUCCAUGGGGCAUGCCUGUUCGAGCGUCAUUUGUACCCUCAAGCUCUGCUUGGUGUUGGGUGUUUGUCCCGCGUUGUCGUGUGGACUCGCCUUAAAGCAAUUGGCAGCCGGCAUAUUUGGCCUUGGAGCGCAGCACAUUUUGCGCUUCUAGUCAUGAAUGUUGGCGUCCAUUAAGCCUAUUACAUUUGCAUUUUGACCUCGGAUCAGGUAGGGAUACCCGCUGA
RNAcentral lists this unclassified non-coding RNA (328 nucleotides) under Alternaria sp. Its description in RNAcentral is "partial contains 5.8S ribosomal RNA, internal transcribed spacer 2, and large subunit ribosomal RNA". The stretch from base 1 to 133 matches the Rfam family "5.8S ribosomal RNA", at positions 22 to 154 of the family's 154-position model. Lineage: Eukaryota; Fungi; Ascomycota; Dothideomycetes; Pleosporales; Pleosporaceae. RNAcentral also lists the same sequence under 1 other name. The record is from RNAcentral.